This 388-nucleotide ribosomal RNA is filed under the name uncultured bacterium. RNAcentral's name for it is "bacterial SSU rRNA". It matches the Rfam family "Bacterial small subunit ribosomal RNA", at positions 29 to 408 of the family's 1533-position model. The record is from RNAcentral.
ACGAACGCUGGCGGCGCGCCUAAUACAUGCAAGUCGAGCGAGAAGACGUAGCAAUACGUUUGUAAAGCGGCGAACGGGUGAGGAAUACAUGGGUAACCUACCCUCGAGUGGGGAAUAACUAGCCGAAAGGUUAGCUAAUACCGCGUACGCUCCUUGGACUUCGGUUCAGGGAGGAAAGCGAUACCGUGGGUAUCGCGCUCUUGGAUGGGCUCAUGUCCUAUCAGCUUGUUGGUGAGGUAACGGCUCACCAAGGCUUCGACGGGUAGCUGGUCUGAGAGGACGAUCAGCCACACUGGCACUGCGACACGGGCCAGACUCCUACGGGAGGCAGCAGUAAGGAAUAUUGCGCAAUGGGCGAAAGCCUGACGCAGCGGCGCCGCGUGGGGGA